Molecule: long non-coding RNA, 968 nt
Organism: Beta vulgaris subsp. vulgaris (sugar beet)
Lineage: Eukaryota; Viridiplantae; Streptophyta; Magnoliopsida; Caryophyllales; Amaranthaceae
Exons: 5
Source: RefSeq, a predicted model, not a curated record
AGGAAUACUUUAUUUCUUUCUUCACUAAUCACAAUUAUACGUGAUUUCAUUCUUCUUCCCAGGCCAGAGCACCGAUACCGCACAUUAGAACCGCCUGAUUUUGCGCGAGAAACCACCCAAAAUUCCUUCGCCGGCUACCGUUUCCGGUACUCUGAAUUCACCUGCAGCCAAUAUUCCUCGCAGUCUAGUCGUCUUUGCCAACCUUUUAUCCCGACGACCGAAUUAUCGCAGUCUGCUACUCAACUUCGCAGUAUACUCUGUUCCAUUGCAGUCUACCACCACCGCGGUAUCGCCGAGGACCUAAUUAUCCGGAGCAAAGUAAAAAGAAUCGAGAAAGGUCAUUGAAAAAGAACACAAGCUAUCGAGGAGGCCGACGAGGAUACGUAUACUUUGAGGAAGAGAUUACAAAGGAACUUCAAAAGCAGGGGAUUCAUGUGACUCAGGUGCCUCGACAUUUAGUUUGGCUAAGAGCUCAUUCAACCGAAAAGGAAGGAGCGAUGAUGUUUGAGAAUCUCGCUGAUUUGGAAAUCGCAGAAGCAAUUUGUCCUCGUCAAUCCCAAGAAUCUCUGGAAUUUGGAUAUUAUAUAUGUCGAUAUAUGCUCGAGACUAUAGAGAAAAGGCGACAAGUGAUUCCUGAUAAGUACUUUGGCGGAGUUACAACUGAAUUUCCACAAAAUAAGCUUGACGAGUUGAGAGACUUAUGGAUCAAAUACGUGGAGGAAUAUAAACAAGCGGAAGAAGAGGAAUCUGAAGAAAGUGUCGAUUUUGAUUAAGUAUUAAGCGGGAUUAGAUAGGUAAUUAGUUAGAACAAUGAGUUGAUUAAUUUACUCUGCAUAUGAGUUGAAAGAAAUAAUGGCUGCUUUAGGUAUCUUUUGAUUAGUUGAUUUUUUGAAUCUUCAUAUAUCGAUAUUAUUUUGUAAUGAAUUAUGGUAUUGCAUCAAUGAAAUUUUUGUCAAGUUAUAUAAUAA